AACGAACGCUGGCGGCAUGCCUAACACAUGCAAGUCGAACGAGACCUUCGGGUCUAGUGGCGCACGGGUGCGUAACGCGUGGGAACCUGCCCUUAGGUUCGGAAUAACUCCCCGAAAGGGGUGCUAAUACCGGAUAAUGUCUUCGGACCAAAGAUUUAUCGCCUUUGGAUGGGCCCGCGUUGGAUUAGCUAGUUGGUAGGGUAAAAGCCUACCAAGGCGACGAUCCAUAGCUGGUCUGAGAGGAUGAUCAGCCACACUGGGACUGAGACACGGCCCAGACCCCCAGGGGGGGGCGAGGGGGGGAAUAUUGGAAAGGGGAGAAAGGCCUAACCCAGAAAGGCCGGGGGGGAAAGAAAGGCUUUGGGUUGAAAAACCUCUUUCCCCCGGAAGAAAAAGGACAGAACGGGGAAAAAAAGCCCCGCCAACCCCCGGG
This 433-nucleotide ribosomal RNA is filed under the name uncultured bacterium. Its description in RNAcentral is "partial 16S ribosomal RNA". It matches the Rfam family "Bacterial small subunit ribosomal RNA", at positions 29 to 507 of the family's 1533-position model. The record is from RNAcentral.